Molecule: long non-coding RNA, 5340 nt
Organism: Gallus gallus (chicken)
Lineage: Eukaryota; Metazoa; Chordata; Aves; Galliformes; Phasianidae
Source: Ensembl
UUUUACACCAUUAUUUAUUCACAUUUUUGGUUAAUGCUUAUAUAAACAAAUGGAUUCCACCCAGAAAAAAAAGCUUUUUGAAAACAAAGAACAUAAAUUAAAAAAAAAAAAAACAAAAAUAAGAAUGUGGAAUACUUAUUGUUAUUCAGCUGGAAUAUUAUUGGCAGGGUGACUCAUUUGUUAAUCCACAGUGCUAUAAAUAGUACUGUAACUCAAUUGAAUGGAAACAUAUCCUUCGCUAUCUCUAGUCACUUGUUUACCCAUGUAAAAUACAUAUGUUUUUGAACUGGCUUAGGUGAUUCCAGAAAGGGCUAGCAAAGUUCAGUGACUUCAUUACACAUUCAAAGCCCUUCGGCUUUCGAUUAAUUUUCUUGUACUCCUACCAUGUUGCUCACUCUGCUCAAUGCAUGGACGUAGAGGCAAUAAAAGGCUACUGUGACAACUCAGCCAGUGUUUCCUCAUAUCACGGGCCAGUGAUAGCAAGCCUUUGGCACCAAUACCAAGUUUGGUGCCAACAGGUAUUUGGUCUGGCACCAGCAGUAAGAAGCUAUGAUGGUUUCUUUUUUAGUUUGUUUGGCACCAGUAACGAGAAACAUUCACCAUUCCUGGCAAAGAGCCACAGGAUUUCACCAAACAGCUUCUGAAUCAUAACUUCGUAACAAACAUAACACAACACAACUUGUAAUUGCGGAGUCUGUCUCUUAGCAAGCAGUUCUGUCCUGAUAAUUACAUUCGGACUUAUCAAUACUUGUGCUUUCAUCUUGUAUCGGUUUCUUUCUAGCUGUUAUAAUCUUCUCAAAGAGAUCCACAAGCCUGUAAGUCCUUCAGCAUUUGGAUUUUCUUUCUCUUGCUGCAGUUAGAUGAAACCAGGUAAUCAUCCAUGAGGAAAGCCUAUGGGGACAGCUACUAAAUUAAGUCAUCACGGAAUAUGUUGUAAAUACUAUGUUGACUUAACCUCCCUCCUCACCCCUGUACUAUGUCAUGUGCCUUCUCAGACGGCAGAUCUGCAAUAUAGGUUCACCCUAUGCUGGUGUGGAGCCCCAUUCAAGCCUCUAAGGCUUAAUGCAUCUAGGAAGAAAAAAGAAUUACCUGUAAGUUAUCUGAGACUCAUGACAGCAUGAUUCCAGUUCCGGCAGCGGUUGCUAAAUGGCACAACACUUCUGAUUAGGCCUCGCAGGGGAUACCUCAGUGGAUACAGCACAGGAUGAAGACUCUGAAGAGCUCAGUUCUACAGACGGCAUUGCUACUGACUUGCCAAACAGAUUUCAGCAGGACAUCUCCCCUUCACUCCUCUUGGCUGUAAACUGGGUGAGCUCUGAGAUCUGUGUGGGAAGGACAGUGUGAGAACACGGAAUUACUUUUGUAGUACGAAGCAUUAGUAACAACAGCAAUAAUGUCAUCCUCUUCACAGGGGAAAAAUCUGUCCCUGCCCAUUCUGUCACAAUCCAGUACAAAGGAAAAAUUUGCUGAGAUGAGGACUUUUGAAUGGGACGUGAAGUGGGCACAGGGAGGAAAUGAUUCUAAGUCUUUGGGCAUGGGAAAAUUUCUUCUCAAGCAACAACUCCCAAGAAACUAAACAUUGUGUUAUAAAAAACCAAGUCAAAAUGGAAGUCCCCACUGUAAAUUCAGCUCUCGAUAUUUGCCAAAGACACAUGGGAAUCCCUACCCCAAGGGAAUGCUUGUUCCUGUGGAAAAGUGCAAAUCCGUAGAGUUCACAAUGAGGGGAUUCACGCAGACAUGCAUUCUACCUCAGUGAUCAAACUCUUCCUCUCAAGGUCUAAAUGAAUUUCCACUGACCUCCUUUCUUACAGCUUAGUCUCCAGCUGGAUUUCCUUCAACUAUAAAAAUGUAUAUAGUGUAAUUAGCCAACCUCCACAGACUCUGUAGUUCAUUUAUGCAUGCUAGGCAAGUCUCCUGCUGUGAGCAGCCCAUCCAAAGAGAACUCUUUGAACUGGUCUAUUGUUGUUCGUGUAGCGUAUUGCAUUGUCCAAUUUCAUCAUUCCUGGCAAGGCACCGCACUCCUGCAGCUUUCUACAGGAGGAGGAAAAGAGAUGAUGAAGCACUUUGUCCAGCUGCUGUGCCGGACAUCUCAGAUGUACAAAUAAGCUUGCCUACCACUAGCUAUAAGACUCGCCCAGUCAACACAGAGGUAUUUGUUGACCAACUGUGCUUAUAAGAUCUUAUCUGGAAGUACUCUCUAAUCUAGUUAGCCAUCUGGAGGGACAAGGGACAGAAAAGAGAGUAAGAAAGGAUCAAGUGAAAAAGAAAGAUCAAAAAUAGUAGUAAUAAUAAAAUCAAGUCCAUAGAGCAACCCACCUUUACGUAAUAUUCGCUGGAGUGUACAGUCAAAUCUUGGCUUAAAGUACCACGAAAGUAACACAAUGGGGUAGACCAAAAACAUACCCAAAACCACACAACGGUGUAGCAUUUUGCUACAUUUAGUGGGGGAUAAUUCCAGAACUUAAAGGUUGAGCAAAUUUCCUUUCCUUCAAACGCUCAUUGGCAAACUCUGAAAUAAAGGAGUCAAAUACUAAAGAAAAUGGGAAGCAAAGCUGUGUGUGUGAUUUGCGACCCACCAUUCACGUUUCUUUUCUUUGUUUUUGAUUAGGUACUGUUUUGGGUAGGAAAAGAGGGGGUCAUACAUCAAAAAAAAAGUGCUGCUCUGCUGCUCUCAAGAGGAAGAGACAUUCCAUUUUAGAACAAAGAAUCUGGAUUUUUUUCACAUUGCUUCACUAAAAGGUUUUUGGAGGUUUUUCUUGGGGUGAUGGGGGUGGAGUGUUUGGCUUUGCUAUAACACAGCACAUCAAAGCGCUUUUGAUGUGAAGUUUACUUAACAGAAUCAGUUUUUCCGAUGAUUGUGUUAAUCUUUAUAAACCUGAAGGCGAUACUGUGCCUUUUAAAAAACUAUAGCAGGAAAAGACUUGAGGUUACAUACACUCUCAGUGGUGAGAGACAGGAGCAGUUGUACUACUUUGCCUCUUCUUAAAACUACACCCAUUCCUUCAUGGGCAGCAAUGGCAGCGGUCUUGACUUCACUCCUGCUUGGCUUGGGAAGGUUCUCUUUAAACCAUGCUCAGCCCUCACGUAAGCACCUUCAUGUGUUUUCCCAGGUAGGAGCCACAUUGGAUUCCUGGGUCAAUUUACACAGGGAUUGGCUGAGAGGCAGCACGGAGGCCUUGAGCCCACACAAGAAUCAACGUUGAUCUUAGGAAGGUACCCCCACUCCACUAAUAGCCACUAAUAGCUAUCUCUAAUUGUGUUAUUUUGAGCACAAGCUCCUGUCCUCUCUUAAAUCCUGCAAAACCAGCUUUGCCAUCCACUCCUUGUCUUGAAGUAUGGCUGUGAAAAGCUUCUGUUAUGUCUGACGUGUUUACCUACAGCAUUUGAAUGACUUUUUAAGUUCUUUGAAUAAAGAUAAGAGACAAUGUGUACAUUUUCCACACAAAUAGUGGAACGGUAAUAAAAUAAACAUCAAAGGUAAGCUAGAAAAUCAUCACUACUUUGCUGCCAUUUAUAACAAAAGCAGGAAGAGGAAAAACCUACCCUCGCCACUGGCAUCAUCUUAGAAAACACGAGUUUUGGAAGGAACGAUGGCUUUUUCCCAUACCCUUAAACACAAACAUUGGCACCUACAGCUAACGCAGUGCUUCACUGAAAGAUCUCAGUUUACAUUGUGAGGGGAGAACAACAAGAAGCCAAGAGAGGUCUCCCUCCUCUUAUUUUUGUUCCUCAAUUGCCCAUUUUUCUCAACUGCUACAGCUUUAGUGGGAACAGGAAGGCAUCAAACCCAUUAUUAAAGUUAGAAAGAGUAUGACCAAAAAGGACAGGAGGACCUCUUACUGUUUAGUAUUUAAGACUCAAUAUGAGGCUGGGAAAAAAAAAAAAAUGACAAAGCUUUGAAAUGUUGUGCAGGUGUGUGUGGGAAUGUUUCUUCUAUUCAAAAGAGAUGGGGAACGAAAGUAGGGCUGUUUGUUUCUUCUGAGGGUCUUUCAAAUCUGCCUUCUUUUAAGUUCCUCCCCGGCACACCUUGGCAGCUGGGGCACGGCAUAGUCCCAGCCAGAGUGUCGCUGCAUUUUGGAGCAUCCAUCCUAAAAUAAGGGCUGAUUCAGAAAGACUGCUUUUGGAAAACAUGGAGCAAUCCAACUCUUACUCCAGGACACAACAUUCAAAGUGUCCAUAAGAGAAAUAGAAUAGAAGCACCACUCUGGAUUUCUGCUGAUGUUUUUGUUUUGGUACUGUUCUGCAGACGCCAGCUUUACUGCCGUAUGGAGUCAAAAAGGGGUUUUGCAAUUGACUUUGAAUGGACAGCAGGGUAGGACUGAAGUUUUCAGUGGAGUUACUGCUGUCUCCCUCUCAUCGUUGAAGCGUCCCAUCCAGCACUGCUGGAGGGGACUGAACAUCUGCCCUCAGAAAGGGGCGUAAGACCACGACGAGCGCAGAGCUGAAAGUGAACGGACAAUCGUGGUUAUUUUGUCUCGGAAGAAAAGCAGCCAGAUAAAGUCACAGAGCGCUUCGUCCCGGGUUUCAUGGAAGACUUAUAGUCGCAGCGUUAGGAAAACAUUAAAGCAAAGUCGCUUUUUAAAAAAGAAAAAAAAGAAAAAAACACAAUAAAAGAUUUUAUUGGAGAGCGACAGCUCUAACACUGCGCACAGCCAUCGGAAGGCAUCAGCAACACGCUCAAAGCCAAGGGUAAAGCUGUGGCAGCCUCUCCCGUCACGCAGCGCUGCCUACCUGCUCCCACCUCGCCCUGCACCCUUGUUAUGACGGCAGGGGAGAGGGGCCGAGGCCGUCGGCCCACACAAACCACGAGGGAUCCCCAGCUGCGGAGCGGCGCGGUGUUCCAACAGGUUGUUGCGCUGUCACAUACAUCGCAACGCGCCGCUCUGCGCGGCGCCGAGAGCGCAGAUCGAGGCGCGGCAGGUUCUGCUCUGCCACCUAUGAGCCGCUCCGCACGCUGCACCUGGAGCGGGGCUGGAGCUCCGGAUCCCGUGGAGCUCUGCUCCGCUCGGAGCGGCCGGCGUGGAGGAGGCACCCGGCAGGAGAAAAUACACUCGCGUUUCGUUAACUUUGCUACCUUUGCUUCCCCACCCACCACCCUUUCAGAUCUCCGUCCUGGCUCCGCCUCUCGCCGGCGUUAUAAUGGGCUGGUCUGAAAGUGGUGGAGAGACGCAGAACCACAGGGGAAGAGGGAGAUAAUGACAAUAACCCCAAUAACCCCCGUCACCCGGCUGCUGCCCGCGCCGCCGCGAGGAGCCGAGCGCUGACGGGGAUAAGCCGGACGGCGAGAGGAGACCUCGGCGUCUCCCGGAGCGUCGCCGGACGGGAGCGGCGGAGCGCCCC